This 65-nucleotide transfer RNA is filed under the name Bujurquina mariae. Its description in RNAcentral is "tRNA-Cys". Lineage: Eukaryota; Metazoa; Chordata; Actinopteri; Cichliformes; Cichlidae. The record is from RNAcentral.
GCUCCGAGGUGUUUAACAUAUUAGAUUGCAAAUCUGAAGAGGCAGGCUAUUACCUGCCGGAGCUU